Molecule: ribosomal RNA, 554 nt
Filed under: Salmonella enterica
Lineage: Bacteria; Pseudomonadati; Pseudomonadota; Gammaproteobacteria; Enterobacterales; Enterobacteriaceae
Also listed under: 1 other name
Description: partial 23S ribosomal RNA
Rfam family: Bacterial large subunit ribosomal RNA
Source: RNAcentral
GAGGGAAACCGAGUCUUAAUUGGGCGUUAAGUUGCAGGGUAUAGACCCGAAACCCGGUGAUCUAGCCAUGGGCAGGUUGAAGGUUGGGUAACACUAACUGGAGGACCGAACCGACUAAUGUUGAAAAAUUAGCGGAUGACCUGUGGCUGGGGGUGAAAGGCCAAUCAAACCGGGAGAUAGCUGGUUCUCCCCGAAAGCUAUUUAGGUAGCGCCUCGUGAAUUCAUCUCCGGGGGUAGAGCACUGUUUCGGCUAGGGGGCCAUCCCGGCUUACCAACCCGAUGCAAACUGCGAAUACCGGAGAAUGUUAUCACGGGAGACACACGGCGGGUGCUAACGUCCGUCGUGAAGAGGGAAACAACCCAGACCGCCAGCUAAGGUCCCAAAGUCAUGGUUAAGUGGGAAACGAUGUGGGAAGGCCCAGACAGCCAGGAUGUUGGCUUAGAAGCAGCCAUCAUUUAAAGAAAGCGUAAUAGCUCACUGGUCGAGUCGGCCUGCGCGGAAGAUGUAACGGGGCUAAACCAUGCACCGAAGCUGCGGCAGCGAACGUAUCACC